RNAcentral lists this long non-coding RNA (280 nucleotides) under Homo sapiens (human). RNAcentral describes it as "HSALNT0338454". Lineage: Eukaryota; Metazoa; Chordata; Mammalia; Primates; Hominidae. The record is from RNAcentral.
AUGUGGUUAUAGAUAGGUGUGCACGUGUGCAUAUGUGGUUAUGCAUAGGUGUGCACGUGUGUAUAUGUGGUUCUGCAUAGGUGUGCACGUGUGCAUAUGUGGUUCUGCAUAGGUGUGCACGUGUGCAUAUGUGGUUCUGCAUAGGUGUGCACGUGUGCAUAUGUGGUUCUGCAUAGGUGUGCACGUGUGCAUAUGUGGUUCUGCAUAGGUGUGCACGUGUGCAUAUGUGGUUCUGCAUAGGUGUGCACGUGUGCAUAUGUGGUUCUGCAUAGGUGUGCAC